Long non-coding RNA from Pseudomyrmex gracilis, 103 nucleotides. RefSeq lists it as uncharacterized. NCBI's taxonomy places the organism in Eukaryota, Metazoa, Arthropoda, Insecta, Hymenoptera, Formicidae. The record is from RefSeq and is a predicted model, not a curated record. The transcript is spliced from 2 exons.
AUAAUGUGGAAUCUUUAAUGCAAUUUGAUAACAAUUUGAAAACUGACAAAGUUUACAGAAAUAAAGUGAUCUUGCUCAUGUCCAAAAUAGGUGGAAAANAUUA